UAUGUAGGGUGCAAGCGUUGUCCGGAAUUAUUGGGCGUAAAGAGCUCGUAGGCGGUUUGUCGCGUCUGCUGUGAAAACCCGAGGCUCAACCUCGGGCCUGCAGUGGGUACGGGCAGACUAGAGUGCGGUAGGGGAGAUUGGAAUUCCUGGUGUAGCGGUGGAAUGCGCAGAUAUCAGGAGGAACACCAAUGGCGAAGGCAGAUCUCUGGGCCGUAACUGACGCUGAGGAGCGAAAGCAUGGGGAGCGAACAGG
This 253-nucleotide ribosomal RNA is filed under the name uncultured bacterium. Its description in RNAcentral is "partial 16S ribosomal RNA". It matches the Rfam family "Bacterial small subunit ribosomal RNA", at positions 524 to 776 of the family's 1533-position model. The record is from RNAcentral.